Molecule: transfer RNA, 73 nt
Filed under: Micromonospora rifamycinica
Lineage: Bacteria; Bacillati; Actinomycetota; Actinomycetes; Micromonosporales; Micromonosporaceae
Description: tRNA_Pseudo_CCC
Rfam family: tRNA
About the family: Transfer RNA (tRNA) molecules are approximately 80 nucleotides in length. Their secondary structure includes four short double-helical elements and three loops (D, anti-codon, and T loops).
Source: RNAcentral
AGGGGCGUAGCUCAACGGGUGGCGCACCGGAUUCCCGACCCGACGGUCGCAGGUUCGAAUCCUGUCACCCCUG